This 497-nucleotide ribosomal RNA is filed under the name uncultured bacterium. RNAcentral describes it as "partial 16S ribosomal RNA". It matches the Rfam family "Bacterial small subunit ribosomal RNA", at positions 28 to 507 of the family's 1533-position model. The record is from RNAcentral.
GAUGAACGCUGGCGGCGUGCCUAAUACAUGCAAGUCGAGCGAACAGAUGCUGCGCUUGCUCCUCUGACGUUAGCGGCGCACGGGUGAGUCACACGUGUAUAACCUCCCUAUCAUACUGGUAUAACUUCGGGACACCGGCUCUAAUACCGGAUAAUAUCUUGAACCGCAUGGUUCAUUAGUGGAAGACGGUUUUGCUGUCACUUCUAGAUGGAUCCGCGCCGCAUUAGCUAGUUGUUAAGGUAACGGCUUAUCAAGGCGACGCUGCGUAGCCGACCUGAGAGGGGGAUAGGCCACACGGGAACGGAGACGGGGACCAGACUACUGAGGGAGGGAGCAGAAGGGAAUGGGACGCAAUAGGCGGAAGCUUGACGGAGCAAGGGCGAGUGAGUGAUGAAGGUCUUCGGAGCGGAAAGCUCUGUUAUUAGGGAAGAACAAAUGUGGAAGUAAAUAUGCACGUAGUGACGGUACCGAAUCAGAAAGCAACGGCUAACUACGUG